Molecule: ribosomal RNA, 333 nt
Filed under: uncultured Limnohabitans sp.
Lineage: Bacteria; Pseudomonadati; Pseudomonadota; Betaproteobacteria; Burkholderiales; Comamonadaceae
Description: bacterial SSU rRNA
Rfam family: Bacterial small subunit ribosomal RNA
Source: RNAcentral
UCGAGAGUUUGAUCCUGGCUCAGAUUGAACGCUGGCGGAAUGCUUUACACAUGCAAGUCGAACGGUAGAGGGGGCAACCCCUCGAGAGUGGCGAACGGGUGAGUAAUAUAUCGGAACGUGCCCAGUCGUGGGGGAUAACGUAGUGAAAAUUACGCUAAUACCGCAUACGAUCUAGGGAUGAAAGCGGGGGAUCGCAAGACCUCGCGCGAUUGGAGCGGCCGAUAUCAGAUUAGGUAGUUGGUGGGGUAAAACGCCCACCAAGGCGACGAUCUGUAGCUGGUCUGAGAGGACGACCAGCCACACUGGAACUGAGACACGGUCCAGACUCCGUAC